UAGCGCUCAAAUUCCUAAAAAACACCAUAUGCCAGAACAACUUUAUCUCACUUCUCUAUUUCUCUGCUGGUGUUGCUAAAUUUUUGACUAAUUUAAAAGCAUCUUUCAGCCCAGAGCCCGGCUCUUGCUGAUCAAUUACCGUUUCAAGUACGCCGCCUUGAAAACGGCCUCAUUACUAAGUUCUAGUACUUUAAAACUGCUUCCCCGCCCGGACACCUGGAACUCCACCAGCUGCGUGAAAGGCAAUGAAAUCCUGGCUCACGCUUUUGGCUAUACUUAAAGUUCACAAGCUCCUGACGUUUAAAUAGGAGGCAGCCAGGUCUAACCUUCUUAAUCAAUCAAUGCAGUAGAAGGCAAUCACUCAUAGAUUACCUGGCCAUUAAGGGCGUCCCAAAAUUCCCUCGGUAGGCCAACCGAGCUUAACCAUAACAACGCGUCCGUUGCAUGUGGCGUCUGCCAAAACGCUGAACAACUGCAUUCCUAGAGAGCCUAGCUUCUCAGUCCUAAACGAAUUUACCUGUUUAAAAGCCUCACGGUGAGCUCUGAGCCCCCCGUUUAAUUAUCUGAAGCCCGAGACCGUCUCUGCUACCCUAUUAAAACCAAAUUAACCCUACACUACCGAUUGACUGGCUGGCAUUCCCAGUCAACCCACAUUUAAACCUCUUAAACCGUAUUUAUUUAUUUCCACACACCUUAAACCAUAUUAACUUAAACACAUAACUUCUUAACUCAAAAUUCACCCCCAAAAUGAACAACAAUGAAUUUAGUCAGACUACUAUGCCCUAUUUUACAACUAAUUAGUCAAGAUCACUAUGGACCAACGCCAGAAGCCCAGACUGAGUGAAUAUUAUUUAAUUAAAUUUAGUUUUAACUUCCAAUAUAGCGCCUUUGGAUAAAAAUCAACAGGUGGCACUCACCUUUUCUUAUGUCGCCUGGCGUCACUCAGAUAGGCUGCUGGCCUUUGCCCCCUUUGUCACCUUCCACGACGAGCUGCAGGUUGCAACUCCUCCCCACCCGGAGUUUCGGCACCAGGUUGUUAAGGUUCGGUCGAGUUAGGGAAGAGAAGAAAGCAAGCCCAAGUCGAAGUAGGUGUCAAAAAUAGUGAUCUUUAUUACACUCUGUGCACAAGAGUGGGAAAAGACAAUUUGCAAUCGAAUCCUCCCGUCAACUGAAGCAUCAGUCUCCUUAUAUUGCCUUUAUGACAUCACAGUUGGAUCUUUACUGGAAAUGAUCUCAAAUGAUAACAAUUCCCCGCCUAUCCCAAAGUUUUCCCUUAUAUAGACAUCAACUGCUACUCUUAAGAGAAAAACAAGUGUGUAUUACAUUGUGCAUUUUGUAAAAGUGUAUUUAUCAGAAAAACUGUCCUCAGAUGACCCUCCUAUUAUUACUAAGUGUGUAGGUGACCGUGCGUGUGUUACAUAAGUGCGUGCAUGUAAGCAGAGACCGGCGUACGUGCAAAAUUACACGCAGGCCUGCCAGGGCCCAACAGGACUCGUGGGUCUGUAUGGUGUGACUGCUCUGCUCUAACGUGCAACAACUUUAUAUAAACAGUCAGUGCGGAUUAAUAUAAACAGUCAGUGUGCAUUAAUAUUUGCUCAAAGUAACACAGGUGUAAUUAAAAGAUUAUACUGUCAACAGAUUCAACAAUGGUAAAGGAAUAAUCAAUAAUAACUGAUUGUGAGAAUACAAAAUAAAAUAUCUCCUGCUCACAGAA
Astatotilapia calliptera (eastern happy) is the source of this 1714-nucleotide long non-coding RNA. The record is from Ensembl. Lineage: Eukaryota; Metazoa; Chordata; Actinopteri; Cichliformes; Cichlidae.